This 488-nucleotide ribosomal RNA is filed under the name uncultured bacterium. Its description in RNAcentral is "partial 16S ribosomal RNA". It matches the Rfam family "Bacterial small subunit ribosomal RNA", at positions 28 to 507 of the family's 1533-position model. The record is from RNAcentral.
GACGAACGCUGGCGGCGUGCUUAACACAUGCAAGUCGAACGAAAAUACCAAGCUUGCUUGGUUGAUUAGUGGCGAACGGGUGAGUAACACGUGAGUAACCUGCCCCUUACUUUCCUGGAUAACUGCUCGAAAGGGUAGCUAAUACGGGAUAUUCUGACCAGCCUGCAUGGGUUGGUUUGGAAAGGUUGUUUUUCUGGUAAGGGAUGGGCUCGCGGCCUAUCAGCUUGUUGGUGGGGUGAUGGCCUACCAAGGCUUUGACGGGUAGCCGGCCUGAGAGGGUGGACGGUCACACUGGGACUGAGAUACGGCCCAGACUCCUACGGGAGGCAGCAGUGGGGAAUAUUGCACAAUGGGCGCAAGCCUGAUGCAGCGACGCCGCGUGAGGGAUGAAGGCCUUCGGGUUGUAAACCUCUUUCGUCAGGAAACAAGGCACUGCUUUUUUGGUGGUGUUGAGGGUACCUGGAUAAGAAGCGCCGGCUAACUACGUG